AUAGAUUUUAUUUAAGAACAAAUGUAGAGAAUAAUAAAUAUAAUAUUGAAAAUGGCAGAACCAAGUCUGCACCAGAGAAAAACUGAAACCAAAAAAACUACAUUAAAAAAAAUACAGAUUCUGCAUGGGAAGCAAACAAAGUAUAAAAUACUUUUUGUCCAAAUCACAGCUGAAACUUUGAACUGAGUAUCCAGUACCCAAGUGUAUUGCAGAAUACCAACGAAAAACAGCAGGUGCAUAUUAAAGUAGCUGGGAUUUCCUAUAUCACUCUCAAUGUUGGUUACAGGAAAAAGGCAAUAACUGUAUAUUUAAAAAACCAACAAUUUAAAUAAAUGAGCUACUCUGAAUUGAUACCACAUAUUUGUACUGUGAUAAUCAUAUGUAAGUUCUAUGGACUAUACAGUAGCAUACGUAAUAUAUCUACUAAACAUAGAGAACCAUAACAUGAUGGACAGGUAGCUGGUCUAGAAGCUUGGUUUAAUUCUCAGGAAAAUGAUCAGUUGGUGCCUGGCCAUACACAAAAAAACUAGGAAGAAGAAUCCUACCGUUAGAAACCAUUUAUAGUGAAAUAAUUUUCUACCUAGAGGAAUAAUCCAAUUUCACAAAUCCCCUACAUAUGAAUUCAAGUUACACAGCUAGGCAUAAGUUUACCAUUUCAGCAGAAAACCAAGCAAUUAGGGUCUACUCAGAAGAAUCUUGAAGAAUCAAGAUUCUUAUAUGGUAGAGAGAGAGAGAGAGAGAGAGAGAUUCAAAUCUCUCCCCCUGCUGCUUUCUUACUAAUAAGAGAAGAGUCUUUACCAUGCUCAAAUAGUUUCCUGUGGGG
Pseudonaja textilis is the source of this 823-nucleotide non-coding RNA. The record is from RefSeq and is a predicted model, not a curated record. NCBI's taxonomy places the organism in Eukaryota, Metazoa, Chordata, Lepidosauria, Squamata, Elapidae.